CAGUCGCCACGGUAAUACAGAGGGUGCGAGCGUUAAUCGGAUUUACUGGGCGUAAAGCGUGCGUAGGCGGCUUCUUAAGUCGGAUGUGAAAUCCCUGAGCUUAACUUAGGAAUUGCAUUCGAUACUGGGAAGCUAGAGUAUGGGAGAGGAUGGUAGAAUUCCAGGUGUAGCGGUGAAAUGCGUAGAGAUCUGGAGGAAUACCGAUGGCGAAGGCAGCCAUCUGGCCUAAUACUGACGCUGAGGUACGAAAGCAUGGGGAGCAAACAGGAUUAGAUACCCCUGUAGUUCCUGUCUCUUAUAC
This 301-nucleotide ribosomal RNA is filed under the name uncultured bacterium. RNAcentral's name for it is "partial 16S ribosomal RNA". It matches the Rfam family "Bacterial small subunit ribosomal RNA", at positions 509 to 807 of the family's 1533-position model. The record is from RNAcentral.